CAUCUUGGAUCAGCUGUUGGUCAGGUGAACACAGAACGGCGCUAUGAAUGAAGAGCAGUGAAGAAGGGGCUACAAUAGAGAGACAGCGAAAGGAUCCGUGUCAUGAUGGUGCUCGUAUUGAUUGUCGCAGGUCUUGGGGUGGUCGCACUGCUCAUGGUUUUAUUCGCACCCCACAUUAGGAAAUACUCAGCAGGUGGAGCAUGUAUGUCUAUGACUCGGCUGGACGGGAAGACGGUCCUGAUUACUGGAGCCAACACUGGUAUUGGGAAGGAGACUGCUCUGGACCUGGCUAUCAGAGUCAUUCAUGGUGAGGCCUCCUGUCCUUCAUCACCACAAAGAUAAUGAUAAC
This is a long non-coding RNA of Oncorhynchus masou masou (cherry salmon), 349 nucleotides long. RefSeq lists it as uncharacterized. NCBI's taxonomy places the organism in Eukaryota, Metazoa, Chordata, Actinopteri, Salmoniformes, Salmonidae. The transcript has 3 exons. The record is from RefSeq and is a predicted model, not a curated record.